GCUGGUGACGGUGGUGGGUGGCGCGCCUAGACUAGAGGCGAGACAAAUGAGCGAGGCGAGGCUGCGCGAGCGCCGCCUCUGCCAGCCACGCCCCUUCCCUCACACCCUGCGCCGAGCAGUAACGCAGCUCUCACGUCACUCACAUGUCAAACGUCUACACUAUGUUAAUACAACUUGUAAACAAUUUACUCGGUAUUUCACCGUGAGAUGUCAUGUAACUACAACGGUUUUCAUCCAUAUGGAUUUCUGUUUUAGGAUAUAAAACACUAUAUUCUAAACUGCACAUUUAUUGAAACAUAUAGUAUGCUGACGUCCUUAUACCCGAUUGAUGUCAUUAAUAAUGCAUAAUGGGUGCCGAGAUUACUUCGAGCCGAGCCGAGUACGAGAGGUAUGUGGUAGAGGAAGAUAAAAUUUAGAUUUAUGCAGCUGAAUAACGAGACGAGCAGGUGUUUAACUUAAGAGCGCCUUACUUACCCACAGAUAGCAGCAAUAUGAAAGCAUGCAGUGGUGCUUCAUUUGCAGGCAGGGAAAACAUAAACCUUAGUUAGUACCCCCCCAGAAAAAAAACGCCCUGUUCAAAGAGUGAAGAGACCUCUUUGUACAAUAUUAAGGGGGUAAAGUGUCCCGAGCAGUUCAUGUGCUACAAUAGUCAAGAUAAGCUUCUCUGCAUCCUUCUAUUUACCGUCAGUAAUGUCGCAUUGCGAAGCGCCAUAUUAUAAUAAUAAUUAUUAUAUUAUAUAAUAAUUAAUAAAUUAUAUUAUGUUUACUCAAAAAUCCUUACUGUUUUGUUACUUUUGAUAAAGCACCUCAGACUGCCACUGUAACCAUUCAGAGACGGUUUGAUGACUUACUAUCGCAAAUAUCCCAAUUUGCUCGUUUAUCCGCCUCAUAAUAAAGAGGUUUAAAAGUCCAUAGAAACAAUUAAGAGAGCUUGAAACCUCGGCGUUUUCCUACGUUGCCUCUUAUAAUAAACAACUAAUUAGAACACCUACUAUCUUGAUCAAUCGCCAAGACGCAACAGACUUAUCUGUAUUAGUAACAUGCAGAUUAUCGUGAAUUAUUGUAUUACCUAAGUAUUAUUUAAACUACCGACCAUAACUGUCGUUUUUGCGUUUUAUACAAAUAUUAAAUAUUUACUUUAACCCCUUAGAGGAUAUAAAUCCCUGUAUAGCGCUUAGCGAUUUCGGGUGUGCGUUGAUCGAUCAGUCGGCCAGUCGGUUUUACUCUUUAUAUUAUACUAGAUAUCACUCGCGCCUUCACCCGCAUAAAAAGCUUUCUCGCUACCGAAACGUUUAUAUCACAGCAAUGAUGUUUAGCGCUAUUUGCACGACGCACGCGCCCUCUACUUAAAAACGCAUUAAAAAAAAAACAAAUAUUUCCCACAGGAGCAAAUUAGCGGAAUAAAAGACCCUAUGUGUUACUGCUACUGCUGUCCCGGACAUAGUCUAUCUGUGGAGGUUUGAAUGUUACAAUGUUAAAAGUAAUUGCACAAACAGCGGUUUGAAUGUAACGCGUUUGAAUUUUAUAAACUUUCUCAGUUAUAAAAUUAGUAAAAAAAUAGAUUGUAAAAUAAUAUAAGAUAUAGAUAACAUCCGACAAGAUCGGUAAGACGGAUAUAGCUUAUUCUAGCAACCAACAAGAAAUACAAUGCUUCCCAUUCAAUUUGGUCUACACAGUGCUCAUCAUGUCUGGUGUACUUUGAUGCGUUAGGAUAAACACAUAAGUCAGUGAAACAUCUCCAGCACUGCAACUAUCACGUCAUAAAAGGAAAAAAGUGUGAACAAUUUAUUCAUCCAUUAAAUCAGUUCGACGCGCCAAACUCUACCCGAUUCACAAUUAUCUUGAUAUGUUUAAAGAUUUUUUAUCUCAGAUACAAAGCAUCAACAAAAUCAGCCCGGUAACACUCGGUUCUCACGGAUAAUACAUUUUAUGAUGUAGGUAAGUCUUGUAGCUUUCAGCUUUGAAUUGUAGCCAAUAAUAGAACAAUAGUUUCAACUUGAAUAUUAAAACAGUAUGACGAGCGAAUCACGACAACUAACAACAUCAAAUUUAAUUACAAAGUACUGCUUAACACCACCCAAUAGGUACCUACCUAGUCAUUUAGUUGGCUUCAAACCCUUUAAAAGAAAAAUUAUAUUUUUUUGCAUACAUGACACCACAAACAGCGGUAAAGCGGGCGUGACUCACAUCUCCUGUAAGUGGAGUUAUAAGACGGUACGUAGAAAAUUUGUAUCACCAAAGUAAUGGAUGAUAAUAUUAUGAAUGCUGCCAAAUCUUUCUUAGUUGAGCAUUUAAAUUCAGUAUUAAACUCACUGGUCCAUAUAUCCCAAAGGGAUCUGUUGUACUCAGAUUUCUGUUUAGCACGAAAGGCUGUUCAUAAUCACGCGUUUUUUAUAGGAGAUGAAAGACAAAGUAGCAGUAUUAACGUCUGAUCGUACGUAUAGUAUGUAUGUAUGCCCCCGCCGCAAACAUACACAGUGACAAAGAAGUUACGGGCGCGUUACGGAUUAUUUCGGGACUCUUUAUUUUUUAUUGCUUUGAAUGACGAGACGAGCUCGCCGUUCGGAUGAGUUUAUGUUGGAUCUUUUGCCACUAAAUACAAUAUCAAGCUAAAAUAUGCUGAAUUUUCACAGUGACACCACUCGGAGUCUGCGUCACGUUCUUUACGCGGCUCUAUCGUAUAAAUGGUUUUCAUUGCAAAAGGUACCUAGAUUAACGAGGUAAUAAUAUAGGGUAGCCAAUUGCUAAGUUAUCACCACAGCUCAUAUAGUAGCAAUAUACAUUUACCAGAGUGGUUGUGACCGCAUUUCCAUUUUACAAUUACGUAAGGAGAAAGUAAAACUGCACUUAUUAUCAGAAUAUGCUUUAUGCUUCAAUUUGAAUACAUCGGCACUCUCCGUGCACUCGUGGUCACGUACAGCCAACAUGACCCACAUUACGCCGGCGGCCACUUCACCCAUAUCACAAAGCAAACAAAAUUCACUUUAUAAGAAAUUCGCACUGGCGACACCAUAUCGCACUCAAUAUAU
Manduca sexta (tobacco hornworm) is the source of this 3029-nucleotide long non-coding RNA. RefSeq lists it as uncharacterized. NCBI's taxonomy places the organism in Eukaryota, Metazoa, Arthropoda, Insecta, Lepidoptera, Sphingidae. The transcript has 3 exons. The record is from RefSeq and is a predicted model, not a curated record.